CCUCGCCUAUAUUUUCCAAACAUUGUUUCAACAUGAAGUAUUCGUAAUUACGCCAACACUGAACGCAGGCUCGCGUUUCUCGCGUCAUGUUAGUCAUGGCAACACGAUAAUUGUUUUUUUUUAAUUUUUUUGUACAAACCGGGAAAAAAUAGAUGAAAUUUGAACACUUUUAAACACAGAACUAUCAAUUUCUAAAAUACAUAAAGUAGGU
Non-coding RNA from Paramuricea clavata, 211 nucleotides. The record is from the annotation of a GenBank genome assembly. NCBI's taxonomy places the organism in Eukaryota, Metazoa, Cnidaria, Anthozoa, Malacalcyonacea, Plexauridae.